GACGAACGCUGGCGGCGUGCCUAAUACAUGCAAGUAGAACGCUGAAGGAGGAGCUUGCUUCUCUGGAUGAGUUGCGAACGGGCGAGUAACGCGUAGGUAACCUGCCUGGUAGCGGGGGAUAACUAUUGGAAACGAUAGCUAAUACCGCAUAACAGUAGAUAUCGCAUGAUAGCUGCUUGAAAGGUGCAAUUGCACCACUACCAGAUGGACCUGCGUUGUAUUAGCUAGUUGGUGAGGUAACGGCUCACCAAGGCGACGAUACAUAGCCGACCUGAGAGGGUGAUCGGCCACACUGGGACUGAGACACGGCCCAGACUCCUACGGGAGGCAGCAGUAGGGAAUCUUCGGCAAUGGACGGAAGUCUGACCGAGCAACGCCGCGUGAGUGAAGAAGGUUUUCGGAUCGUAAAGCUCUGUUGUAAGAGAAGAACGAGUGUGAAAGUGGAAAGUUCACACUGUGACGGUAUCUUACCAGAAAGGGACGGCUAACUACGUGCCAGCAGCCGCGGUAAUACGUAGGUCCCGAGCGUUGUCCGGAUUUAUUGGGCGUAAAGCGAGCGCAGGCGGUUAGAUAAGUCUGAAGUUAAAGGCUGUGGCUUAACCAUAAUACGCUUUGGAAACUGUUUAACUUGAGUGCAAGAGGGGAGAGUGGAAUUCCAUGUGUAGCGGUGAAAUGCGUAGAUAUAUGGAGGAACACCGGUGGCGAAAGCGGCUCUCUGGCUUGUAACUGACGCUGAGGCUCGAAAGCGUGGGGAGCAAACAGG
Molecule: ribosomal RNA, 763 nt
Filed under: uncultured Streptococcus sp.
Lineage: Bacteria; Bacillati; Bacillota; Bacilli; Lactobacillales; Streptococcaceae
Description: bacterial SSU rRNA
Rfam family: Bacterial small subunit ribosomal RNA
Source: RNAcentral